This 406-nucleotide ribosomal RNA is filed under the name uncultured bacterium. Its description in RNAcentral is "partial 16S ribosomal RNA". It matches the Rfam family "Bacterial small subunit ribosomal RNA", at positions 30 to 526 of the family's 1533-position model. The record is from RNAcentral.
AUUGAACGCUGGCGGCAGGCCUAACACAUGCAAGUCGAACGAGUGGCGGACGGGUGAGUAAUGUCUGGGGGACAGCCCGAUAGAGGGGGAUAACUACUGGAGACGGUAGCUCAUACCGCAUACCAUCGGAUGUGCCCAGAUGGGAGUAGCUAGUAGGUGGGGUAACGGCUCACCUAGGCGACGAUCCCUAGCUGGUCUGAGAGGAUGACCAGCCACACUGGAACUGAGACACGGUCCAGACUCCUACGGGAGGCAGCAGUGGGGAAUAUUGCACAAUGGGCGCAAGCCUGAUGCAGCCAUGCCGCGUGUAUGAAGAAGGCCUUCGGGUUGUAAAGUACUUUCAGCGAGGAGGCGUUACUCGCAGAAGAAGCACCGGCUAACUCCGUGCCAGCAGCCGCGGUAAUAC